CUACAUUCAACAGGAAACAGUUAUAUAUACUUAACAGAUGGUAAUUCUUAACGAUGUUACAGAGAGUCGUCUUGACAUCAGAGAGGAGAGCAAACGGAUCGUAGCAGGAAGAGCCCGUAAUCCUUUGUCCUUGACUCUAUAUACCCCAAAUUACGUCAUAAUGUUUAGUUUAGACCCUGCCAUAUAAGGAAGUUCCCUAUAUAAAGACCGCCUCAAAUCUCUUAUACAGCAAAUUCC
This is a non-coding RNA of Pelobates cultripes (western spadefoot toad), 237 nucleotides long. The record is from the annotation of a GenBank genome assembly. Lineage: Eukaryota; Metazoa; Chordata; Amphibia; Anura; Pelobatidae.